RNAcentral lists this unclassified non-coding RNA (1049 nucleotides) under Hevea brasiliensis (rubber tree). The record is from RNAcentral. Lineage: Eukaryota; Viridiplantae; Streptophyta; Magnoliopsida; Malpighiales; Euphorbiaceae.
AAAAAAAACAAAAAAAAAAAAAACAAAAAAAAUUUCCUCUCUUUACCUUCCUCCGUCGUCUUCCCUCCGGUUCUCCGACGAUUUUAUCCCUAUCUUACCCCUCCAUCGUCUCUUCUUAUCCCAAAAACACAAAAAAGGAAGUUUUUUUUUUCUAUUUUUUGUUGGAAAGAGAGAGAAGGAUCUAGAAGCUUUGUGUUUUCGUGAUGGCGCAGAUUCAGGUGCAGCAUCAGGCGGCUCCAGUGCCGGGACCAAACGGAGUGGCGGCGGUCCCCGGCGGGAUUCCGUUCAUGCCGACGUCGCUUUAUGUUGGAGAUCUUGAACUUAAUGUGACCGACUCGCAGCUUUACGAUCUGUUUAGCCAGGUGGGUCAGGUGGUUUCUGUUCGGGUCUGUAGGGACUUGGCCACCGGGCGAUCACUGGGAUAUGGUUAUGUUAACUAUAGCAACCCUCAAGAUGCUGCAAGAGCAUUGGAAGUUCUAAACUUCACUCCUCUUAAUAACAAGCCCAUUAGGAUCAUGUACUCUCAUCGGGACCCAAGUCUUCGUAAGAGUGGGACAGGAAAUAUUUUUAUCAAGAACCUCGAUAAGUCUAUUGAUCACAAAGCCUUACAUGAUACGUUUUCGUCAUUUGGCAACAUUCUUUCUUGCAAGGUGGCUACUGAUGCUUCUGGCCAGUCCAGAGGCUAUGGUUUUGUACAAUUUGACAAUGAAGAAUCUGCUCAAAAUGCUAUAGAUAAAUUGAAUGGCAUGCUACUUAAUGAUAAACAAGUUUUUGUUGGACACUUCCUUCGUAAGCAGGAUAGAGAUGGUGCAUUGAAUAAGACAAAAUUUAAUAAUGUCUUCGUGAAAAAUUUAUCUGAAUCAACAACGGAUGAGGAUUUGAAGAAUAUUUUUGGCGAAUAUGGCGCAAUUACUAGUGCUGUAGUUAUGAGAGAUGCAGAUGGGAAAUCAAAGUGUUUUGGAUUUGUCAACUUUGAAAAUGCUGAUGAUGCUGCUAAAGCUGUUGAGUCUCUUAAUGGAAAUAAGUUUGAUGAUAAGGAGUGGUAUGUU